GGACGGGCGAGUAAUACUUAGGAAUCUACCUAGUAGUGGGGGAUAGCUCGGGGAAACUCGAAUUAAUACCGCAUACGACCUACGGGAGAAAGGGGGCAGUUUACUGCUCUCGCUAUUAGAUGAGCCUAAGUCGGAUUAGCUAGAUGGUGGGGUAAAGGCCUACCAUGGCGACGAUCUGUAGCUGGUCUGAGAGGAUGAUCAGCCACACCGGGACUGAGACACGGCCCGGACUCCUACGGGAGGCAGCAGUGGGGAAUAUUGGACAAUGGGGGAAACCCUGAUCCAGCCAUGCCGCGUGUGUGAAGAAGGCCUUUUGGUUGUAAAGCACUUUAAGCAGUGAAGAAGACUCCUCGGUUAAUACCCGUGGACGAUGACAUUAGCUGCAGAAUAAGCACCGGCUAACUCUGUGCCAGCAGCCGCGGUAAUACAGAGGGUGCAAGCGUUAAUCGGAAUUACUGGGCGUAAAGCGAGCGUAGGUGGCUUGAUAAGUCAGAUGUGAAAUCCCCGGGCUUAACCUGGGAACUGCAUCUGAAACUGUUAGGCUAGAGUAGGUGAGAGGAAGGUAGAAUUCCAGAUGUAGCGGUGAAAUGCGUAGAGAUCUGGAGGAAUACCGAUGGCGAAGGCAGCCUUCUGGCAUCAUACUGACACUGAGGCUCGAAAGCGUGGGUAGCAAACAGGAUUAGAUACCCUGGUAGUCCACGCCGUAAACGAUGUCUACUAGUCGUUGGGUCCCUUGAGGACUUAGUGACGCAGCUAACGCAAUAAGUAGACCGCCUGGGGAGUACGGCCGCAAGGUUAAAACUCAAAUGAAUUGACGGGGGCCCGCACAAGCGUGGAGCAUGUGGUUUAAUUCGAUGCAACGCGAAGAACCUUACCUGGUCUUGACAU
Molecule: ribosomal RNA, 888 nt
Filed under: uncultured bacterium
Lineage: Bacteria
Description: bacterial SSU rRNA
Rfam family: Bacterial small subunit ribosomal RNA
Source: RNAcentral